GAUGAAGAACGUAGUGAAAUGCGAUAAGUAAUGUGAAUUGCAGAAUUCAGUGAAUCAUCGAGUCUUUGAACGCACAUUGCGCCCCCUGGUAUUCCGGGGGGCAUGUCUGUCCGAGCGUCAUUGCUGCCCUCAAGCACGGCUUGUGUGUUGGGCCCCCGUCCCCGGUUUCCCCCGGGGACGGGCCCGAAAGGCAGCGGCGGCACCGCGUCCGGUCCUCGAGCGUAUGGGGCUUUGUCACCCGCUCUGUAGGCCCGGCCGGCGCCAGCCGACACCCAACUUUAUUUCUAAGGUUGACCUCGGAUCAGGUAGGGAUACCCGCUGAACUUAAGCAUAUCAAUAAGCGGAGGA
RNAcentral lists this unclassified non-coding RNA (348 nucleotides) under soil metagenome. RNAcentral's name for it is "partial contains 5.8S ribosomal RNA, internal transcribed spacer 2, and large subunit ribosomal RNA". The stretch from base 1 to 120 matches the Rfam family "5.8S ribosomal RNA", at positions 35 to 154 of the family's 154-position model. The record is from RNAcentral.